This 82-nucleotide transfer RNA is filed under the name Dactylosporangium vinaceum subsp. matsuzakiense. Its description in RNAcentral is "Dactylosporangium matsuzakiense tRNA-Cys". Lineage: Bacteria; Bacillati; Actinomycetota; Actinomycetes; Micromonosporales; Micromonosporaceae. The record is from RNAcentral.
CUCCUCCGUGGCAGGCGGGCUAUCCGGCGGUACAGCCGCCGAAAAAAGGGCGUGGCGGACGGCUCGCGGCCGUCGGAGGCGG